GCGCGCGCUUGAGGAGGAGCGGCGCUGCCUGGCCCGGCCCCUCACCGGAAACCCUCCUCGCCUCUUCAGCUCCGAUUCCGGCGGCCGCGGGUCGUCCUACAAGCAUCCCUGCAAGUUCAACCUGGGGUGCAAAAAGCAUAUGGAGGGCCAGCUUGCAUACCUUAGGAUGGCAGCGGAGAAAGAUGCUCGUGACUGGAGAGAGAUGAGGGAAAUACUUGAAGCAUCGGCGCAAAGACAAGCAGAGCACGAUGAAGAGUGCAAGCGACAGGACAAGGUCGUAAACUGUGCUGCCGCCGUUCUGUUCCUCGCGUUGUUUGCAGGCCACAUGUUCUUUCGCUGAAUCAAGAAAUAGGUUGUGAUCGCCCUUGAUUGCCUUCUCCCUGCACUCUGUGCUUUAUGCAUUUAAACUAUGUGUCUCAACAGUAGGCAAGGCACUUCUAUAUGGUUAAACUUUUGGAUCCUCUCCUCAGUGCCGCGUGAAGUAUUUUCUUAGCACAGCUCACAUCAGGAUUUCA
Long non-coding RNA from Triticum dicoccoides, 515 nucleotides. RefSeq lists it as uncharacterized. The transcript is spliced from 3 exons. The record is from RefSeq and is a predicted model, not a curated record. Lineage: Eukaryota; Viridiplantae; Streptophyta; Magnoliopsida; Poales; Poaceae.